Molecule: long non-coding RNA, 1829 nt
Organism: Girardinichthys multiradiatus
Lineage: Eukaryota; Metazoa; Chordata; Actinopteri; Cyprinodontiformes; Goodeidae
Exons: 5
Source: RefSeq, a predicted model, not a curated record
GAGCUUGGAAUUUUGAUUGGUUGUCAGCUAGAACCCACCAAUCGAAUGUUUGGAGUGCCAUGCUCAAAACUCUGUUUUUAAACACUAUCGAUGUUUUAACAUUGUCAGAUGCAGCUCUGCCACCAUGGGUUGGUUACGAUCAAGAGGACAUCAUGCAGGAGCAAAUUCGAGCUCUCUCAGGACAAAAAUUAUUUUUUACGGGACCCCUCUGUUGGCGUGCGGUUUUACUUCGACUUUGAGCAAACGUUUUCUGUCGCCUUGGUGAUGCUGGAGGAGGAUGGGCUCCUCAGGAUGAUACGCUUCCAUCUGGUCCCCAGAGAGUGAGAAUGUUUCACUUACGUAUUCAUCAUGACGAAGGGAAUGUCUCCACCAGUCUGCCUGUUUCUGAAUUUGUGAGUGAUGCCUUUAAAACAUCCACGACAAACGAGGAGGAUCUGCAGAGGAGGAUCUGCAGAGAGAUUUGUGUUAGACAAAGUGGAACAUCCACACAGCAGACAGAAGUAUUUCCUGAGUGAGAGAGAGCUGCAGGAAGAGCUAGAGGAGAGAUUGAAGACAUGGUUAAUGAGGCCUGUGAUAAGAUUUAACAUUUUGAACAGCAGGAGGAUGUUGUCCUCAAAGAAGUCUGAAGGUGUUACCAUGUAAUGUUAUCAACAAGGUUGUGAUUAUCAGGCAAACCUUCAUAAAAGACCUGACCACGUUUGCACAUUGAAGCUCAUGAAGUUGUUGCACUGACUCUGCUGUGUUUCAUACAGAAUAUCUUCAGAUAACAGGAUAAACUGAAACUACUUGUAUUCUGUUGGAGUACCUGUGACUAAAGCUGGGGAACAAGAACAAGAUGUUUUUGCCAGGUUUUGACUCAGAAUUCUCAGCUGGGCAUGGAUGAGUUAGCAGAAAAAUUUGUGUGCGUGAAGGGGUAAACUGUGUGACAGAAACAGACACACAACAUGUUCUUUUAUAUAAUAAGAAAAGGUAACAGCUUAAAUGGCGUAAUUUUAAAAUUAAUUUCCAAACUUUUGAUUCAUAUUAGUCUGAUCAAGACAAUAGAGCAAAGAAGCAGGUCAAGUAAAUGAAUAAAAAAAUUGCAAUAAUAUAAUAUCUAUGCAUUAUAUUUUUACAAUUUCUGUCAGUUUUUGUAUUUAUUUAUUUUUUUUAUUUAAGUUUGAAAACAACAGAAAAUUAUUAAUCUAUGAUAGUAUAAUUUGUUUUUUUGGCAUGUGAUUUUAUUGAUAUAGAAUUUGACCAAAAGUAAUGAAUACAUUUAUAAAGUGCUUAUUAUUGGUAAAUAAGGGGGAGCUGCAUGUCGUUCAUGUUGGUUAACGUCCUUCUCUUCUACCUUCUUGCUAAAAGUGUAGCAGUUCGUAAACAUUACAUUGGCUCAUUACUGCCACCCGCUGGUGGUUUGUUUUCCUCUUCAAAUGUCGUCCUUUAGAGAGUUUGAUGUGUUUAGGUGGCUUUAGUCUGUGGCGCAGGUGAUCCCAACUCUUUCAUACAGAAAUCUGCUUAAACCAGUCUGUUAGGUUGAACUCAGUGUUUUCAAAAUCUAUAAAAACGAUUAAAUUGUGUAAUAAGUCCCCAGUUUAAGAUGAUUCUCUGCCUGAGCCAAAUGUUUGUUUUAAAAAAAAUGUUGAAUUGCCUUUUUAGUGUGUUUUUCAUUUCUAUCAUAUUUUGUAUCACUUCUUAAAAUGUUUCCCCAGAGUCAAAUAAAUGGAUGACUGAAGAUAUUUACAGUACAGACACACCUUCUCAUUCAAAGAGUUUUCUUUAUUUUCAUGACUAUGAAUAUUGUAGCUUCACACUGAAGGCAUCAAAACUAUGAAUUAACAUGUGGA